Molecule: small nuclear RNA, 126 nt
Organism: Oryctolagus cuniculus (rabbit)
Lineage: Eukaryota; Metazoa; Chordata; Mammalia; Lagomorpha; Leporidae
Gene: U2
Rfam family: U2 spliceosomal RNA
About the family: U2 is a small nuclear RNA (snRNA) component of the spliceosome (involved in pre-mRNA splicing). Complementary binding between U2 snRNA (in an area lying towards the 5' end but 3' to hairpin I) and the branchpoint sequence (BPS) of the intron results the bulging out of an unpaired adenosine, on the BPS, which initiates a nucleophilic attack at the intronic 5' splice site, thus starting the first of two transesterification reactions that mediate splicing.
Source: Ensembl
AUCGCUUCUCGGCCUUUUGGCUAAGAUCAAGUGUGAGUGAUAAUUACAACUGGUUGAAUUUAAUUGUUUUAGUCACUAAUGCAUCCUUACUAUGUUGCUAUUUCAAAUAUAAUUUGGGGAACUAAU